AGUGAACGCUGGCGGUAGGCCUAACACAUGCAAGUCGAACGGCAGCACAGUAAGAGCUUGCUCUUACGGGUGGCGAGUGGCGGACGGGUGAGGAAUACAUCGGAAUCUACUUUUUCGUGGGGGAUAACGUAGGGAAACUUACGCUAAUACCGCAUACGACCUACGGGUGAAAGCAGGGGAUCUUCGGACCUUGCGCGACUGAAUGAGCCGAUGUCGGAUUAGCUAGUUGGCGGGGUAAAGGCCCACCAAGGCGACGAUCCGUAGCUGGUCUGAGAGGAUGGUCAACCAGACUGGAAGUGAGACACGGUCCAGACUCCUACAGGAGGAAGCAGUGGGGAAUAUUGGACAAUGGGCGCAAGCCUGAUCCAGCCAUACCGCGUGGGUGAAGAAGGCCUUCGGGUUGUAAAACCCUUUUGUUGGGAAAGAAAAGCAGCAGGUUAAUACCCCGCUGUUCUGACGGUACCCAAAGAAUAAGCACCGGCUAACUUCGUG
This 492-nucleotide ribosomal RNA is filed under the name uncultured bacterium. RNAcentral describes it as "partial 16S ribosomal RNA". It matches the Rfam family "Bacterial small subunit ribosomal RNA", at positions 29 to 507 of the family's 1533-position model. The record is from RNAcentral.